UAUUAGUAGUGGCCUGAAUUACAGUUUGUGCAAUUUCUGAAAUAGAUUUAUCGUUUUCUCUUCAAUCACCAUAUUGUUAAUUUGAGAUAAUAAUAUAGUACACGUAACAUCUAUAUUCCAGAUUAGUAACAUCUAUAUUCCAUUCCUGUUUGUACAACUAUGACGUAUGAUGAACAACAUGCAGGCCACUUCCGGACGGAAUCUAAUUCCAAUUGAGAAAGAGGGCAGAGCUCGAGCGGCAAAUUCUAUGUUCUUUGUUGUAUUAUAUAAAUGUCUGGUCCGUGGUGAUAUUGGCUAUAUAAAUCACGCAGGUCUUUUUGCCUGUGGCACGUCCGAUAUAGCUCAUUCUGGAAAGGACCCGAGAUAAGCGCAAGGCACAGUGCAGACGGCAGAUUGCUGCUUUCUUAUCUAUCUAGUAGGACGAAGAUGUCUGACAAAAGUGACCUGAAAGCUGAGCUGGAGCGAAAGAAACAGAGGCUAGCUCAAAUACGAGAGGAGAAGAAGAGAAAGGAGGAGGAGAGGAAAAAGAAAGAGUCUGAGAGUCUGCAGCAGAAAACAGAGAAUGUCUCUGAAGAUUCUGACUUGGACCGCAAACGAAGAGAGACGGAGGCGCUGCUGCAGAGUAUUGGGAUCUCACCAGAACCACCAUUAGUGAGCACCACCAGUGAUGCUGGCAGCCAGGAGUCCGUAGAUGGGGGGACAGUGGGAAGAUAUAGGACCCUGCAGUGGGACACGGACCCCUCUGCUCUCCAGCUGCAGGCAGACUCUGAGCUGGGGCGCAGGAUGCACAGACUUGGAGCGUCAAAAAUAGUACAGAUUGACUUCGUUCCCAAAGAGCUUGUGACCUACACUAAAGAGACCCAGACUCCUUCAGCAGCACAUCAGUCUGAAGAAGAAGAAGAGGAUGAGGAGAGCAGUGAGCCUAAAGCUUCCCCUCAGACUGACCAGUUGGAGGAGGAAGGAGAGGCAGAGGACAGUAAACAGACCCAUGCCAGAGAGCUGACGGAGGAGGAGAGGGAACAGAUCCUCCACUCAGAGGACUUCCUGGUGUUCUUUGAGCGGUCGGUCUCUGUGGUGGAGCGGGCGCUGGCCGAGGAGGGAGACAUCUUCUUCGACUACAGCGGCCGGGACCUGGAGGACAAAGAAGGGGACAUGCAAGGUGGAUCCAAUCUGUCUUUCAACCGUGUGUUCCAUGACGAUCACUGGUCCAAACACCGAGUAGUCACCUGCUUAGACUGGUCCCCACAGUACCCUGAACUGAUGGUGGCCUCUUACAACAGCAACGAGGAUGCUCCACACGAGCCUGAUGGGAUAGCGCUGGUGUGGAACAUGAAGUUCAAGAAGACCACUCCAGAGUAUACAUUUCACUGCCAGUCAUCAGUGAUGUCUGUGGGCUUUGCUCAGUUCCAUCCUAACUUGGUGGUGGGGGGGAACGUACUCUGGACAGAUUGUGUUGUGGGAUAACCGUAGUCACAGGAGGACCCCCGUCCAGAGGACCCCUCUGUCUGCUGCGGCACACACUCACCCAGUGUACUGUGUGAACGUGGUGGGUACCCAGAACGCCAACAACCUGAUAACAGUGUCUACUGAUGGGAAGAUGUGCUCCUGGAGUCUAGACAUGCUCUCUCAGCCUCAGGAGAGUAUGGAGCUGGUCUACAAUAAGUCCAAGCCCGUAGCAGUAACAGGAAUGGCCUUCCCUGCCGGAGAUGUUAACAACUACGUGGUGGGAAGCGAGGAAGGGAUGGUGUACUCUGCGUCCCGCCACGGCAGUAAAGCAGGUAUAGCUGAGAUGUUUGAGGGGCACCAGGGCCCAGUGACUGGGAUCAGCUGCCAUAACGCUGUGGGUACUGUCGACUUCUCACACCUCUUCAUCACGUCCUCCUUUGACUGGACAGUAAAACUGUGGUCAAUCAAGCACAACAAGCCACUGUACUCGUUUGAGGAUAAUGCAGACUAUGUCUAUGAUGUCAGUUGGUCCCCUGUGCAUCCGGCUCUCUUUGCCUCCGUGGAUGGGAUGGGUCGUUUGGACCUGUGGAACCUCAACAAUGACACUGAGGUGCCCACAGCGAGUGUGACGAUCGAGGGGGCGUGUGCUCUGAACCGUGUGAGAUGGGCGUCGGGAGGCAGAGAGGUUGCCGUGGGUGACUCGGAGGGGCGUGUCUGGAUCUACGAUGUGGGAGAGCUGGCAGUGCCACACCCUGAGGACUGGAGCCACUUCGCCCGCACCCUAGUUGAGAUCCGUGCCAACCGCGGGGACGGAGAGGAAGAGGGGGCCGUGGAGCUGGCAGCCUGAAACCCUCUCAUCAAUGGAUGCAACGUUUCAAGACUGACAGCUUGAUAACAGACAUUUACAGAUAACAAACCAUCAUUUACUGACAUAACAACAGCAGCAUGCAUGCUUUAGUGACAUUCAAGUCAUUGUGAUUAGACUGACUCCAAGCUUAUGCUCCAUAGAUCAAAGUAAGAAACAAGGAUUUUCCAGACCAACAACUAUUCUUACUAGGGUUAUUUAUUGGUUCAUUAAACAGUUGAUAUGUAUAUACGUGAUAUCAAAAUCAUAUGGCUUGCAAUGAUAAUGUGCUUAUGGGUCUAACGUGGGUCUAAAUGUUGGAGUGAGCUAGAUAUGAUCCUGAUAUUAUACUGGUUUGAUGAUCAGAUUCCUGUGAUCUGUUCAUGUUGUUCUUUCUUCAAGGUUAUAAAAGCUGCAUUAAUAACAAGUUGGAUCAUUGUUUUCUCAAGAUAUCCAAGUUAACCUUUAAUAAUGUUUUUAAGUAGCUUUGGGCUUUUCAGUGCAUCAGCAUGAUAAUUAUUACAUUUUGGUUGCUGUUAAAAAAAAUGGUUUUGUUUUAAGAAAUAAGUCUAAAAAUGUAUGGCUUUUUGCUGUAAGGACAACAAUUGACAAUAAAAUCAGGAUAACUUAAA
This is a non-coding RNA of Salmo salar (Atlantic salmon), 2922 nucleotides long. Lineage: Eukaryota; Metazoa; Chordata; Actinopteri; Salmoniformes; Salmonidae. The record is from RefSeq and is a predicted model, not a curated record.